Molecule: ribosomal RNA, 240 nt
Filed under: uncultured Actinomycetales bacterium
Lineage: Bacteria; Bacillati; Actinomycetota; Actinomycetes; Actinomycetales
Description: partial 16S ribosomal RNA
Rfam family: Bacterial small subunit ribosomal RNA
Source: RNAcentral
ACUCGAGUGGCGAACGGGUGAGUAACACGUGGGUGAUCUGCCCUGCACUUCGGGAUAAGCCUGGGAAACUGGGUCUAAUACCGGAUAGGACGAUGUUUUGGAUGCCAUUGUGGAAAGUUUUCGGUGUGGGAUGAGCUCGCGGCCUAUCAGCUUGUUGGUGGGGUAAUGGCCUACCAAGGCGUCGACGGGUAGCCGGCCUGAGAGGGUGUACGGCCACAUUGGGACUGAGAUACGGCCCAG